This is a small nucleolar RNA of Tursiops truncatus (common bottlenose dolphin), 92 nucleotides long. Its record names the gene SNORD116. It matches the Rfam family "Small nucleolar RNA SNORD116". From Rfam's summary of the family: HBII-85 is a member of the C/D class of snoRNAs, which contain the C (UGAUGA) and D (CUGA) box motifs. The record is from Ensembl. Lineage: Eukaryota; Metazoa; Chordata; Mammalia; Artiodactyla; Delphinidae.
GGCUCGACGAUGACUUCCACAAAUGCAUUCCUUGGAAAUCUGAACAAAAUGAGUGAGAAAUCCCUGCCGUCUCCUCCUUGGAACUGAGGUCC